GGAGAGGUGGCCGAGCGGCUUAAGGUGCACGACUGGAAAUCGUGUGUGGGGUUAAACUCACCGAGGGUUCAAAUCCCUCCCUCUCCGCCA
This 90-nucleotide transfer RNA is filed under the name Nitrospirae bacterium GWA2_46_11. Its description in RNAcentral is "tRNA-Ser". It matches the Rfam family "tRNA". From Rfam's summary of the family: Transfer RNA (tRNA) molecules are approximately 80 nucleotides in length. Their secondary structure includes four short double-helical elements and three loops (D, anti-codon, and T loops). Further hydrogen bonds mediate the characteristic L-shaped molecular structure. tRNAs have two regions of fundamental functional importance: the anti-codon, which is responsible for specific mRNA codon recognition, and the 3' end, to which the tRNAs corresponding amino acid is attached (by aminoacyl-tRNA synthetases). tRNAs cope with the degeneracy of the genetic code in two manners: having more than one tRNA (with a specific anti-codon) for a particular amino acid; and 'wobble' base-pairing, i.e. permitting non-standard base-pairing at the 3rd anti-codon position. Lineage: Bacteria; Pseudomonadati; Nitrospirota. RNAcentral also lists the same sequence under 5 other names. The record is from RNAcentral.